AGCUUGUCAAUGAUGUUUCUUAUUAAAAAAAAUGUCUGAACAUAUGAAUUUCAUAGUGAUUUCAGUGUGUUACUGAGAUGAGCU
This is a small nucleolar RNA of Rhea pennata, 84 nucleotides long. RefSeq annotates it as small nucleolar RNA SNORD72. Lineage: Eukaryota; Metazoa; Chordata; Aves; Rheiformes; Rheidae. The record is from RefSeq and is a predicted model, not a curated record. The transcript has a single exon.